CCCAGCUGGAGCUUGGUGAGAAGGGCCCCUUCUAGCCAAGGGAGCAAGUCUGGUUUCCAUUAGACUGAGUUUGAGGCAAUGAUGGGUUUCCCUGGCAACGUUUGGAAAUAAGGAUCUGGAACUGCAGAGGCUCCGCUGGGUGGGAGACGAAGUCUCAGGGUCUGGCUGUUUGAAGGUGGCAAAAAGAGCCCUUGGAUUUGGAAAUUAGAAGAUCGUAUUUGUUCUUAAAUGGUAUCUACCAGAAGAAGACAGCCAGCUUUUGAUACUAACAAACCACAAUGGAAGAUGGCCGUAUUUAUCAUUGCCUUUAGCAUGUUAAAGGGUACAUACCACAUUGACCCUGGCAGAAGCAUUCCUGAUGUGUUGGAAAAAUUAAGAGAAAUAACAGUUCUUUGGCAAUAAAAAUACCUGAUCAGGUGUGUUUC
RNAcentral lists this long non-coding RNA (425 nucleotides) under Homo sapiens (human). RNAcentral's name for it is "HSALNT0048878". The record is from RNAcentral. Lineage: Eukaryota; Metazoa; Chordata; Mammalia; Primates; Hominidae.